Molecule: transfer RNA, 65 nt
Filed under: Dipodomys ordii (Ord's kangaroo rat)
Lineage: Eukaryota; Metazoa; Chordata; Mammalia; Rodentia; Heteromyidae
Rfam family: tRNA
About the family: Transfer RNA (tRNA) molecules are approximately 80 nucleotides in length. Their secondary structure includes four short double-helical elements and three loops (D, anti-codon, and T loops). Further hydrogen bonds mediate the characteristic L-shaped molecular structure. tRNAs have two regions of fundamental functional importance: the anti-codon, which is responsible for specific mRNA codon recognition, and the 3' end, to which the tRNAs corresponding amino acid is attached (by aminoacyl-tRNA synthetases). tRNAs cope with the degeneracy of the genetic code in two manners: having more than one tRNA (with a specific anti-codon) for a particular amino acid; and 'wobble' base-pairing, i.e. permitting non-standard base-pairing at the 3rd anti-codon position.
Source: Rfam by way of RNAcentral
GGUGGCUCAGGGGUAGAGUGCUUGCCUUGUAUGCAUGAGGCCCGGGGUUCGAUUCCUCAGCACCA